UAUGCUAUCGGAUAUUUGAAAAUCAGCUUUGUUCUUUCAGCUUUGACUGUCAUUUGCCAUUAAUCAUCAACAACGAUACAGAUCCCAAAAAUCAGGGUCUAACAUAUUUUUUCUGUUAAUGGAUAAGCAUACUAAAACAUAGCUUUCUUUUCUGCAGUUAAACAGUAAUAAUCACAGUUACUGGUUCAACAGCACUCACAGAAGUAAAUAUUUGUUUUCUGAACAUGAAUAUGACCCAGGAGCUACAUAAGGUCAUAUACUGUAAUACUUGUAAUCAACACAUAGAAACUUGCAGUGGGAUCAACAAUAAUUCAGUAUGUCAACAGGUUCAAAUCUACAGCUGUGAUAAAUUAGCAGUUCCACUGGACCUUGCCUCAGCUGAGACCUGGGCCUUAUAGUCUCAUACAGUCUGUAGGAAACUGGAAGGGUAGAAACAUCUUUUAGCCUCACUCCAAGAGACAUUAGCUUUCAGAAGCUUUUGCAAGGACCAUGUUGUUUCCUAUUGGCUAUUUCAGAGUCAGAAAGAAACUCCUUGAAGUCCUGAAGGACAAAACUCUGAUUUGCAACAGCAUUUUCCUCCUUCUUUGUUCAUUUCCUUCAGGGUACAUCGGACACAAUUCUGAAGAAGCAAGAAGUUUCGUAUGCAUUAGAAUUAAUGGGAAAUCAUCACUAGGUCAGCAAAACU
RNAcentral lists this long non-coding RNA (685 nucleotides) under Dromaius novaehollandiae (emu). Its description in RNAcentral is "lncRNA (ENSDNVG00000018172.1)". Lineage: Eukaryota; Metazoa; Chordata; Aves; Casuariiformes; Dromaiidae. The record is from RNAcentral.